AUGAACGCUGGCGGCGUGCCUAAUACAUGCAAGUCGCGCGAACGGACGAGAAGCUUGCUUCUCUGAUGCUAGCGGCGGACGGGUGAGUAACACGUGGAUAACCUACCUAUAAGACUGGGAUAACUUCGGGAAACCGGAGCUAAUACCGGAUGAUAUUUUGAACCGCAUGGUUCAAAAGUGAAAGACGGUCUUGCUGUCACUUAUAGAUGGAUCCGCGCUGCAUUAGCUAGUUGGUAAGGUAACGGCUUACCAAGGCAACGAUGCAUAGCCGACCUGAGAGGGUGAUCGGCCACACUGGAACUGAGACACGGUCCAGACUCCUACGGGAGGCAGCAGUAGGGAAUCUUCCGCAAUGGGCGAAAGCCUGACGGAGCAACGCCGCGUGAGUGAUGAAGGUCUUCGGAUCGUAAAACUCUGUUAUUAGGGAAGAACAUAUGUGUAAGUAACUGUGCACAUCUUGACGGUACCUAAUCAGAAAGCCACGGCUAACUACGUG
This 496-nucleotide ribosomal RNA is filed under the name uncultured bacterium. RNAcentral describes it as "partial 16S ribosomal RNA". It matches the Rfam family "Bacterial small subunit ribosomal RNA", at positions 29 to 507 of the family's 1533-position model. The record is from RNAcentral.